RNAcentral lists this ribosomal RNA (453 nucleotides) under uncultured Paraprevotella sp. Its description in RNAcentral is "bacterial SSU rRNA". It matches the Rfam family "Bacterial small subunit ribosomal RNA", at positions 341 to 792 of the family's 1533-position model. The record is from RNAcentral. Lineage: Bacteria; Pseudomonadati; Bacteroidota; Bacteroidia; Bacteroidales; Prevotellaceae.
ACGGGAGGCAGCAGUGAGGAAUAUUGGUCAAUGGGCGAGAGCCUGAACCAGCCAAGUAGCGUGAAGGAUGACUGCCCUAUGGGUUGUAAACUUCUUUUAUACGGGAAUAAAGUGAGCCACGUGUGGCUUUUUGUAUGUACCGUACGAAUAAGCAUCGGCUAAUUCCGUGCCAGCAGCCGCGGUAAUACGGAAGAUGCGAGCGUUAUCCGGAUUUAUUGGGUUUAAAGGGAGCGUAGGCGGCCUUUUAAGUCAGCGGUUAAAUGUCAGCGCCCAACGUUGGCAUGCCGUUGAAACUGGAGGGCUUGAAUACACACAAGGUAAGUGGAAUUCGUCGUGUAGCGGUGAAAUGCUUAGAUAUGACGAAGAACUCCGAUUGCGAAGGCAGCUUACUGGGGUGCGAUUGACGCUGAGGCUCGAAAGUGUGGGAAUCAAACAGGAUUAGAUACCCUGGUA